RNAcentral lists this ribosomal RNA (899 nucleotides) under uncultured Bacteroidota bacterium. Its description in RNAcentral is "bacterial SSU rRNA". It matches the Rfam family "Bacterial small subunit ribosomal RNA", at positions 17 to 916 of the family's 1533-position model. The record is from RNAcentral. Lineage: Bacteria; Pseudomonadati; Bacteroidota.
UUAUGGCUCAGGAUGAACGCUGGCGGCGUGCUUAACACAUGCAAGUCGAACGAAGCACUUAUCUUUGAUUCUUCGGAUGAAGAGGUUUGUGACUGAGUGGCGGACGGGUGAGUAACGCGUGGGUAACCUGCCUCAUACAGGGGGAUAACAGUUAGAAAUGACUGCUAAUACCGCAUAAGACCACAGAGCCGCAUGGCUCAGUGGGAAAAACUCCGGUGGUAUGAGAUGGACCCGCGUCUGAUUAGGUAGUUGGUGGGGUAACGGCCUACCAAGCCAACGAUCAGUAGCCGACCUGAGAGGGUGACCGGUCACAUUGGGACUGAGACACGGCCCAAACUCCUACGGGAGGCAGCAGUGGGGAAUAUUGCACAAUGGGGGAAACCCUGAUGCAGCGACGCCGCGUGAGCGAAGAAGUAUUUCGGUAUGUAAAGCUCUAUCAGCAGGGAAGAAAAUGACGGUACCUGACUAAGAAGCACCGGCUAAAUACGUGCCAGCAGCCGCGGUAAUACGUAUGGUGCAAGCGUUAUCCGGAUUUACUGGGUGUAAAGGGAGCGUAGACGGCUGUGUAAGUCUGAAGUGAAAGCCCGGGGCUCAACCCCGGGACUGCUUUGGAAACUAUGCAGCUAGAGUGUCGGAGAGGUAAGUGGAAUUCCCAGUGUAGCGGUGAAAUGCGUAGAUAUUGGGAGGAACACCAGUGGCGAAGGCGGCUUACUGGACGAUGACUGACGUUGAGGCUCGAAAGCGUGGGGAGCAAACAGGAUUAGAUACCCUGGUAGUCCACGCCGUAAACGAUGACUACUAGGUGUCGGGGAGCAAAGCUCUUCGGUGCCGCAGCAAACGCAAUAAGUAGUCCACCUGGGGAGUACGUUCGCAAGAAUGCAACUCAAAGGAAUUGACGG